RNAcentral lists this unclassified non-coding RNA (358 nucleotides) under soil metagenome. RNAcentral's name for it is "partial contains 5.8S ribosomal RNA, internal transcribed spacer 2, and large subunit ribosomal RNA". The stretch from base 1 to 120 matches the Rfam family "5.8S ribosomal RNA", at positions 35 to 154 of the family's 154-position model. The record is from RNAcentral.
GAUGAAGAACGUAGCGAAAUGCGAUAAGUAAUGUGAAUUGCAGAAUUCAGUGAAUCAUCGAAUCUUUGAACGCACAUUGCGCCCGUCAGUAUUCUGGCGGGCAUGCCUGUUCGAGCGUCAUUACGCCCCUCAAGUCCCCUGUGGACUUGGUGUUGGGGAUCGGCGAGGCUGGUUUUCCAGCACAGCCGUCCCUUAAAUUAAUUGGCGGUCUCGCCGUGGCCCUCCUCUGCGCAGUAGUAAAACACUCGCAACAGGAGCCCGGCGCGGUCCACUGCCGUAAAACCCCCCAACUUUUUAUAGUUGACCUCGAAUCAGGGAGGACUACCCGCUGAACUUAAGCAUAUCAAUAAGCGGAGGA